CAGAUUUGGAUUUUCUAUUUCAUAGUUAUUGAAAUCAUAAUGAGAAUGAAGUACUGCCACUAAGGUAAAGGUGCUAACUUGCAAGGAGCUGUUCUCAAAACAUUGGGUGACAAAGAAUUCACUUUUACAAAAAUCGAGCAGGAUAUUAAAGACAGCGAACUAUAGAACAAAUAUGGCGAAGCUGCAUGAAGUCUAUGUUGAAUUUUAUUAUUGAAAAAAAAUAUGCUCUUCAGAUUUAAUGUUAGUUUUUAUUGUUUAACAGUAAUUGCAGUUUUCGAAUACCUGUAAAAUAAACCUAAUUCUUAAAUUAA
This is a long non-coding RNA of Stegodyphus dumicola, 311 nucleotides long. RefSeq lists it as uncharacterized. Lineage: Eukaryota; Metazoa; Arthropoda; Arachnida; Araneae; Eresidae. The record is from RefSeq and is a predicted model, not a curated record.